This 497-nucleotide ribosomal RNA is filed under the name uncultured bacterium. RNAcentral's name for it is "partial 16S ribosomal RNA". It matches the Rfam family "Bacterial small subunit ribosomal RNA", at positions 28 to 507 of the family's 1533-position model. The record is from RNAcentral.
GACGAACGCUGGCGGCGUGCCUAAUACAUGCAAGUUGAGCGCUGAAGGUUGGUACUUGUACCAACUGGAUGAGCAGCGAACGGGUGAGUAACGCGUGGGGAAUCUGCCUUUGAGCGGGGGACAACAUUUGGAAACGAAUGCUAAUACCGCAUAAAAACUUUAAACACAAGUUUUAAGUUUGAAAGAUGCAAUUGCAUCACUCAAAGAUGAUCCCGCGUUGUAUUAGCUAGUUGGUGAGGUAAAGGCUCACCAAGGCGAUGAUACAUAGCCGACCUGAGAGGGUGAUCGGCCACAAUGGGACUGAGACACGGCCCAAACUCCUACGGGAGGCAGCAGUAGGGAAUCUUCGGCAAUGGACGAAAGGCUGAACGAGCAACGCCGCGUGAGUGAAGAAGGGUUUCGGAUCGUAAAACUCUGUUGGUAGAGAAGAACGUUGGUGAGAGUGGAAAGCUCAUCAAGUGACGGUAACUACCCAGAAAGGGACGGCUAACUACGUG